GGAGUUCCUUCAGGACACACUGUCCUA
Molecule: non-coding RNA, 27 nt
Filed under: Homo sapiens (human)
Lineage: Eukaryota; Metazoa; Chordata; Mammalia; Primates; Hominidae
Source: RNAcentral